This 1140-nucleotide ribosomal RNA is filed under the name Triticum aestivum (bread wheat). RNAcentral describes it as "partial small subunit ribosomal RNA". The record is from RNAcentral. Lineage: Eukaryota; Viridiplantae; Streptophyta; Magnoliopsida; Poales; Poaceae.
AUGAGGAGAUUUUUGAAAUUUUUGAUCCGCUCCGCUAACUCCAAUUCGGCCUCGGACCCAGACGACUUCUCCAUCCCCUUCUUCAGGCAGUUCUGGCCCCAGCUGCGGGGCCUCGUCCAGGCUAUCAUUCAAGGCUUCUGGUUGGGAACCAUUGACAUCUCUCGGUUAAAUUACGUUGUCCUCACUCUCAUUCCUAAAGUUAAAGGGGCAGAAUUAAUCUCUCAGUUUAGACCUAUAGCCCUGAUUAAUAAUUUCGCUAAACUACCGGCAAAAGGCCUUGCUACUAGGCUCUCCCCUAUUCCCCAUCAUACUCUUAGUCCUUUCCAAUCGGCCUUUGUUAAGGGCAGGUUUAUAUUAGAUGGCAUCCUUUGUCUUCAUGAGAUUGUUCAUGACCUGCGAGUCCGGGGCUCCAAAGCGGUGAUUCUAAAACUUGACUUCGAAAAAGCUCACGACUUGGUUAGUUGGAAUUUCCUUCAACAAGUGCUUCUGGCCAAGGGCUUUGACGGUGCAGUGGUUCACAAACUUAUGCAGUUGGUCACGGGAGGCCACACUGCGGUCUCGGUCAACGGGAACAUCAGUCACUUCUUUGCCAACGGCAGGGGCCUGAGGCAGGGUGACCCGGCUUCACCCCUCCUCUUCAACUUUGUGGCUGACUCUCUCUCCCAUAUUCUGACUCGGGCUGCGGCAGCUGGUCACAUUAGUCCUGUCAGCUCCCACCUUGUCCCUAAUGGCAUCUCUCACUUACAAUACGCGGAUGAUACUAUCAUAAUGGUUGAAUUGAAUGAUGCUAGUAUAGCCCACCUAAAGUUCCUUCUCCUUUGCUUUGAAGCUCUCUCUGGUCUAAAGAUUAAUUUUGCCAAGAGUGAAGUCGUUGUUACUGGGGUCUCGGACGUUGAGGCCCAAAGAGUUGCUCAUCUUCUUAAUUUCUCCCUAGGAUAUUUUCCAUUCAAAUAUCUCGGCCUCCCGAUCUCCCCCCAGAAGCUGCUGGCUAAAGAUUUUGCUCCGACUGUUACUAAGGUGGGUAACCGGGUCCUGCCGUGGAGAGGUCGCUACAACACCCAAGCGGGCAAGGUCGCCCUAACCAACGCCUGCCUGUCCUCCAUCCCCAUGUUCCUGAUGGGCUUCUACCUCCGUUCGUGA